AGCCAAUUCAAUUUCAACAUCAUCAUCAGCUAAAUUCUCUUCCAUAAGUGUUUCUUGACCAAUUCUUCGAGCUGACAAUAACAGUUGUUCCGCAUCUUUGUACUUCUCCCUUUCAAUCAAAGAGCAGGCAGUGUUGUAAGCCAAUUCAAAACUGCUAGUUGCUUUAACUCUCAGUGAAUCCAGGGUUCCCUGCACUUCAGAAGAUCUUCCAGCAGAAACCAGACCAGCAACAAGAUUUAUCUCCAAGGAAUCUAUUGUAGACUUUGGGAGCUUUUGAUAAAUAUCGACAGAUGCACCCAUCUUUCCUAAUCGAUACAAAAUCUGAGAUUCCAACAGCAUUGACUCAGUACUUCCUUCUUGCCCCCUCAAGGACUCUAAAGCCUCCUCCAAUUUAUUUUGCCGAUAUAAGCAAUAUGCCUUAAAGAAGCUAAGAUCAACAGAACCCUUUUUGCUAGAGUCUUUAAUAGCAACCAAUGCGUCUUCUAUAGAAUCUGCUUUCACUAACGCCACCACUUUACACCGUAUCGCGUCCUCAUCUCCAGGCGCAGCCGCAAGAAUUUGAUCAGAAACUUUGACGGCUUGCUCAUACUCGGAUCGUUGAAUGUGGCGAUUAAGCGAAGUGAAGAGAUCUUCAAUUGCUAUAGCAGGGGUUGCUACUGCAGAUGCCUUUGCUUUCUCUUUGGGCUUCGGAGCCAUUUCUGAAGCAAUUCCCAAAUCGAAUGGAUUGUGAUUUUU
Molecule: unclassified non-coding RNA, 735 nt
Filed under: Hevea brasiliensis (rubber tree)
Lineage: Eukaryota; Viridiplantae; Streptophyta; Magnoliopsida; Malpighiales; Euphorbiaceae
Source: RNAcentral